Molecule: ribosomal RNA, 292 nt
Filed under: uncultured bacterium
Lineage: Bacteria
Description: partial 16S ribosomal RNA
Rfam family: Bacterial small subunit ribosomal RNA
Source: RNAcentral
GUGUCAGCCGCCGCGGUAAUACGAAGGGGGCUAGCGUUGCUCGGAAUCACUGGGCGUAAAGGGUGCGUAGGUGGAUUUUUAAGUCAGGGGUGAAAUCCUGGAGCUCAACUCCAGAACUGCCUUUGAUACUGGGAAUCUUGAGUUCGGGAGAGGUGAGUGGAACUGCGAGUGUAGAGGUGAAAUUCGUAGAUAUUCGCAAGAACACCAGUGGCGAAGGCGGCUCACUGGCCCGAUACUGACACUGAGGCACGAAAGCGUGGGGAGCAAACAGGAUUAGAUACCCUGGUAGUCC